This 260-nucleotide ribosomal RNA is filed under the name uncultured bacterium. RNAcentral describes it as "partial 16S ribosomal RNA". It matches the Rfam family "Bacterial small subunit ribosomal RNA", at positions 1232 to 1500 of the family's 1533-position model. The record is from RNAcentral.
GGCAGGUACAGAGGGAUGCUACCGGGCGACCGGAUGCGGAUCUCGAAAGCCUGUCCCAGUUCGGACUGGAGUCUGCAACCCGACUCCACGAAGUUGGAUUCGCUAGUAAUCGCGCAUCAGCCAUGGCGCGGUGAAUACGUUCUCGGGCCUUGUACACACCGCCCGUCAAGCCAUGGGAGCCGGGGGCGCCUGAAGUCCGGGACCGCGAGGACCGGCCUAGGGCGAAACUGGUAACUGGGGCUAAGUCGUAACAAGGUACC